AUGAAGACCGUUUGUCUUUUCUUUGCUGUUGCCUUUCUGGUUUUCCAGGUCCAAGCAAGCUCAACUUUACCACCUGAGAAAGGAUCAGAAAAUCCUGGUGCUCCAAAUCCUUCUGACUACCGAGAAGAUGACCAUGGACUGGAGAAAAACUCAGCCCUUGCUUCACGAUUGACCACCUUUUCAUGCUUUGGUCCUUUUGGGUAUUGCCUUCCUCGGACCUGGUUGUGUCUCUCCGAAAGAGUGUUCAAAGAGGAAUUCAACGAUUGUCCAGUGCCUGAUGUCUUCAAGUGCUGUGUUUUCUGAAAAAUGGGACACACUUCUGUGAACCCCUCUCUGGAGACAACAGUCUCAACUAUGAAGAAGAAUUUUGAUUUGAUAAUCAGGAAAUUUGAUAAUGAAGAAGAGUGAUUUCUUCCGAUAUUCCACAUAAAUAAUCCUCUGUUAAUCAGCUCCACCACUUUCAUUAAAGCAUCUAUAAACUAAAAUAUUCAUUUGACUCAUUUGUUUGGUGCUUACUACUUGAUCUCAAGAAAGAUCAGUGCCCUCUUCCCAUGACGCCAUUAUAGCACAAUAAUCCAUUGUUAAUUGCCAUGGCAACAUCUUCUGGAAUCCUAGAAUUUGUAGUCUGGUGAGGUACCAUGGUUCUCUGAUUUAUAUAAUUCUACAUACUCCUUCCUGAUUGCAUAUCCCUGGAUUUCACAGGAUGUUGUCACUGCAAUUAAAGUGUAUCAUCAUGCUAUAAUCAUAAAGGGUGAAACAACCCCUAGUAUAAGUUCUUCUAUGAAAACAUCAUCUCAGUUUCUUCUCUCAUGAGAAAAAUAUGUGAAAAUUAAAACACAGAGCUAAAUUCCAUUGUCACUCCUGACUUGAGCAGAACCAUGGAAUCAGUUUGAUUUACUUAUGUGUUGACAGUUUCUAUUCUAGGAUUCCAGUCAUAUUUCUUUAUAUCUGAGAUGAAAAGAAUGAUAAAAUAUUUUGGGUUUUGUUUUUUAAAAAAAAUCAAAAUGUGUGAAUAACAGAGUGGCAGUUACAUUUAUCCAUUUAGUUUUUAAAACCUAGCUUUCAGUUCUUUUGCAUUCAACUAUGUUGGUGAUGAAUUAUCCUCUCUUUUUUCUUAGAGGCCCUCCUCAUUAACACCUACAUGGUACAUUAUUUAUUAUUAUUAUUAUUAUUAUUAUUAUUAUUAUUAUUAUUAUUAUUAUUUCAUUCUUUCUUAUCCAGCUUUCCCCAAGGAUUGAGACAGGGAAUAACAUACCAUAAUAUAACAUGAACCACAUAUCCUUAAUCAUUCAUCAUUCUGAGCUCUUAAGACUGGCUAGGCCUUUAAGACAAAAAGAAUUCAAAUAAUUUCAAGUGGCCAUUGAUAUUCAAGUAGUUUCAAGGGGCCACUCUGCCCACAGAUGUGAUUCAGUCCUUCCACCAUUUAUCAAAUUGGUUUCGGGGAUCUUCUAUUAUACCCACCAGGUCAUCCACAAAUGCACAAAUUUUGUAGCUAUAUUUUUUAGUCCUAAGUCCUUUAAGGUCUGUAUUUUUCCUUAUCUGCCCAUAAUUUUUUGUAACAUGUUUUUAAAUAAGAUAAUAUACUGUAUAAAUAACAAAUAAUAUAAAAAUAAUGACACAUAAUAAAAGAGAAUGUAAACAUAUAAAUUUGCUUGGUUUCAUCUAGCCACGGUGGCAAGGAAGCACAUUUGAGGCAAGAAAAUGUGUGUUGGCCAGUGUAACAGCAAGGCACAAAUAACAUGCAACAACCAAAAGAAAGAUCAACUUUUUGUGUCCCAAGCCCCACUUAGGUAAAUUGCUUAGUAGACUUGGGCCUGAAUCAGUUUGAACAAUACAUUUCUCCCUGUGGAAAUCCAUUUUGAUAGUGUUUACUUUUUCUAUUUUAACUUUUCUCUAACGGGGUUAAAUGUAAGGCACUACACCUAGGGAGGAAUAAUGAAAUGCUCAGCAAUGCAACUGUGAAUUGGUCAAACCUAUUUUGGCCCAGCAUGUUCAUUCUGGUUAGUACUUGAAAGAA
Molecule: long non-coding RNA, 2017 nt
Filed under: Anolis carolinensis (green anole)
Lineage: Eukaryota; Metazoa; Chordata; Lepidosauria; Squamata; Anolidae
Description: lncRNA (ENSACAG00000041835.1)
Source: RNAcentral